UGCAUGGAUAGCUCAGUUGGUUAGAGUAUGGUGCUGAUAACGCCAAGGACAGUCGCAUAUUCCUGCAU
This is a non-coding RNA of Podarcis lilfordi (Lilford's wall lizard), 68 nucleotides long. Lineage: Eukaryota; Metazoa; Chordata; Lepidosauria; Squamata; Lacertidae. The record is from the annotation of a GenBank genome assembly.